RNAcentral lists this transfer RNA (73 nucleotides) under Oscillospiraceae bacterium. RNAcentral's name for it is "tRNA-Lys". It matches the Rfam family "tRNA". Rfam says of the family: Transfer RNA (tRNA) molecules are approximately 80 nucleotides in length. Lineage: Bacteria; Bacillati; Bacillota; Clostridia; Eubacteriales; Oscillospiraceae. The record is from RNAcentral.
ACGCCUUUAGCUCAGUUGGCAGAGCACCGGACUUUUAAUCCGGGGAUCAUGGGUUCGAUCCCCAUAAGGCGUA